RNAcentral lists this ribosomal RNA (993 nucleotides) under uncultured bacterium. RNAcentral describes it as "bacterial SSU rRNA". It matches the Rfam family "Bacterial small subunit ribosomal RNA", at positions 510 to 1502 of the family's 1533-position model. The record is from RNAcentral.
AGCAGCCGCGGUAAUACGAAGGGGGCUAGCGUUGUUCGGAAUCACUGGGCGUAAAGCGUAUGUAGGCGGAUCAAAAAGUUAGAUGUGAAAUCCCUGGGCUCAACCCAGGAACUGCAUUUAAAACUAGUGAUCUAGAAUUUGGUAGGGGUUAGUAGAAUUUCCAGUGUAGAGGUGAAAUUCGUAGAUAUUGGAAAGAAUACCAGUGGCGAAGGCGACUAACUGGGCCAUUUUUGACGCUGAGAUACGAAAGCGUGGGUAGCAAACAGGAUUAGAUACCCUGGUAGUCCACGCAGUAAACGAUGAGUGCUAGUCGCUGGGACAAUAGUUUCAGUGUCGAAGCUAACGCAUUAAGCACUCCGCCUGGGAAGUACGGUCACAAGAUUAAAACUCAAAUAAAUUGACGGGGGCCCGCACAAGCGGUGGAGCAUGUGGUUUAAUUCGAAGCAACGCGAAGAACCUUACCAGACCUUGACAUGGUGUGUUUGAAUUACAGAAUCCUAAUUCUUCAGUUCGGCUGGCACACACACAGGUGCUGCAUGGCUGUCGUCAGCUCGUGUCGUGAGAUGUUGGGUUAAGUCCCGCAACGAGCGCAACCCUCAUUUUUAGUUGCCAUCAGGUUAUGCUGGGCACUCUAAAAAAACUGCCGGUGAUAAGCUGGAGGAAGGCGGGGAUGACGUCAAGUCCUCAUGGCCCUUACGGUCUGGGCUACACACGUGCUACAAUGGUGGUGACAGUGGGCAGCAAUACUGCAAAGUAAAGCUAAUCCCAAAAAACCAUCUCAGUUCGGAUUGGACUCUGCAACUCGAGUCCAUGAAGUUGGAAUCGCUAGUAAUCGUAGAUCAGCGUGCUACGGUGAAUACGUUCUCGGGCCUUGUACACACCGCCCGUCACGCCAUGGGAGUUGGUUUUACCUUAAGCCGGUGCGCUAACCGUAAGGAGGCAGCCGUCCACGGUAGGGUCAGCGACUGGGGCGAAGUCGUAACAAGGUAACCG